UACGAAGGGGGCUAGCGUUGUUCGGAAUUCCUGGGCGUAAAGCGAGUGUAGGUGGUUGUCCACGUUGGAUGUGAAAGCCUUGAGCUCAACUCAAGAAAUGCAUUCAGGACUGGGCGACUAGAGGACCGGAGAGGAUAGUGGAAUUCCCAGUGUAGUGGUGAAAUGCGUAGAUAUUGGGAAGAACACCAGUGGCGAAGGCGGCUAUCUGGACGGUUUCUGACACUAAGACUCGAAAGCGUGGGGAGCAAACAGG
This 253-nucleotide ribosomal RNA is filed under the name uncultured bacterium. RNAcentral's name for it is "partial 16S ribosomal RNA". It matches the Rfam family "Bacterial small subunit ribosomal RNA", at positions 524 to 776 of the family's 1533-position model. The record is from RNAcentral.